GGGCCCGCACAAGCGGUGGAGUAUGUGGUUUAAUUCGAUGCAACGCGAAGAACCUUACCUGGUCUUGACAUCCCGAAGAUCUCCUGGAAACAGGAGAGUGCUCUCUUUGAGAGAAUUUGGUGACAGGUGCUGCAUGGCUGUCGUCAGCUCGUGUCGUGAGAUGUUGGGUUAAGUCCCGCAACGAGCGCAACCCUCGCCAUUAGUUGCCAGCAUUAAGUUGGGCACUCUAGUGGGACUGCCGGUGUCAAACCGGAGGAAGGCGGGGAUGACGUCAAGUCCUCAUGGCCUUUAUGACCAGGGCUACACACGUACUACAAUGGCCGGUACAACGGGCUGCCACUUCGCGAGAAGGCGCAAAUCCCUAAAAGCCGGUCUCAGUCCGGAUUGGAGUC
Molecule: ribosomal RNA, 392 nt
Filed under: uncultured bacterium
Lineage: Bacteria
Description: bacterial SSU rRNA
Rfam family: Bacterial small subunit ribosomal RNA
Source: RNAcentral